GAGGUAAAGCCCCAACCCCCAGGACCUCACCUGCUUGGUGUUAAGAUGAAUUUUCGCCCAAGGGCAAACACUUCCUCUGGCCAUUCAAAUUUCCUUGGUUUGCAUUCCCCAACUACUUAAUCCCUGUAGCUCUAACUUUUUUUAGCCAGAAAAAGUCUUGUGCUGCUAUAAGAGAACAAAUAUAUUGACUUUUUUUUUUUUAAGCAGGCAUAGCCCUUGAGGGUAGUGCAGUACCCAUCUCAAUCCAUUUGGAAUCCAUUGUUAACAAGGCACUCAAAAAUCCAAUGUCUCUCCCGAAGAUUUCUCUUGCUAAUCUUGGAGGAAGAGGCAGUCUUAUGAUCUCAUUCCAAGCCUAGAGAAGAAUGAGCCCUGGCCUGAAGUUAGGGAGACUGCUUGGCUCUGAACUGAAAACAUUAGCCACUCACAGACCUGCGUAAGAAUUGGGCCUUUAUGUAAUAGCUGGAAAAAUACAGACUUUUGCCAG
Molecule: long non-coding RNA, 484 nt
Filed under: Phascolarctos cinereus (koala)
Lineage: Eukaryota; Metazoa; Chordata; Mammalia; Diprotodontia; Phascolarctidae
Description: lncRNA (ENSPCIG00000031724.1)
Source: RNAcentral